Molecule: long non-coding RNA, 714 nt
Organism: Bradysia coprophila
Lineage: Eukaryota; Metazoa; Arthropoda; Insecta; Diptera; Sciaridae
Source: RefSeq, a predicted model, not a curated record
CAGAUGAUAAUAGUAGACCGUUUAGAAUAGACUAUGCCAAUCAACUUUAACCAAUGAUGUCAUUUUCAAGGUCCUCAAUAGUGGUGACUUUAUCACUAUUUUAUUUAACCGGAAACGCGCACACAUUCAAAUAAAAGCAUUUCCGCCAAAAAAUCGUUUUUUAAAUUAACGGUCAAAAUAAUUUCAGUUUUGUGGUGUCACUUACGACUAUCUUCACAACAGACAUGUCAAUAAUUUUUGUUUACCUGAAUGGCAACAUAUUUUUGUAUGUUUUAUUCGCAUUUUACCAACUGAAUUAGCACGAAACUUAUUGCAGAGAAUUUCUAGGCCCAUAAAAUUAAGGAAUUGAACACUGAAUUGCACAAUCGACACCACAUUACUUUUAAAAAUGAGAUUUUCACAACACCCACAAAGUUUGACCAAAUUAAUUUGUCUUUAAAAUUAUUUCGGAGAAUUUGUCCUAAAUUCUGUUUAAGACACUAGCAUGAGCACACUCGUAACUAUUUUCUGGACGAAAUUUAAACUGAAUCACUUCGUUUUACGCGAAAUACUACAAAUUUUCGACACGAACUUGUUUGAGAUUAAAACUUUACUGUGGCGUUUUGACAUUUCAUCAAAACAAAAUUCAGUGAAUCAGUCAAAACUGGGUGAACUGAGUGAACAAUACUACUGUAAUUGUAAAGUGGCAAACUUAAGACCUUAUGUGGAAUUUGG